RNAcentral lists this unclassified non-coding RNA (379 nucleotides) under soil metagenome. RNAcentral's name for it is "partial contains 5.8S ribosomal RNA, internal transcribed spacer 2, and large subunit ribosomal RNA". The stretch from base 1 to 120 matches the Rfam family "5.8S ribosomal RNA", at positions 35 to 154 of the family's 154-position model. The record is from RNAcentral.
GAUGAAGAACGUAGCGAAAUGCGAUAAGUAAUGUGAAUUGCAGAAUUCAGUGAAUCAUCGAAUCUUUGAACGCACAUUGCGCCCGCCAGUAUUCUGGCGGGCAUGCCUGUUCGAGCGUCAUUUCAACCCUCAAGCCCCAGCGGCCUGGUGUUGGGGACCGGCGACCUCGCCCGAGCCCGCCCUCCGGGGCGCGUGCCCGGUGCGUCCGCCGCCCCCGAAAUGAAUUGGCGGCCUCGUCGCGGCCUCCUCUGCGUAGUAGCACAACCGCGCAAGCGGGAGCGCGACGCGGCCACUGCCGUAAAACGCCCAACUUUUUUAGAGUUGACCUCGGAUCAGGUAGGAAUACCCGCUGAACUUAAGCAUAUCAAUAAGCGGAGGA